AAGUAUUAUCACACAAGCCUCCUCUGUGACAUAUCUGCUGUCAUGGCAACUAAAUUCAGCCCUGAUUGAGUGAGUUUGGUUUCAAUUUCACAGCAAGACUGCAAGGAGGAAGUAAAAAUAAGCGGCUGAUAUCCAUAUGGAAAGAAAAGCAUUUGAUUCAACGUUUUUCUCUUAUCCAGCAUGAUUUCUGUAACUGACAUAUAGGAUUGAAUUUCCUUUUAAAGGAACUCUACAGCUGACAGUGUUAAAAUACAUUAUACAAUCAGCCUUAACAUUAAUUUCAUUGGUUUUCUAUAGCAGCAGCUAGCAAAAUGCAAUUCUGAGCACCAGCAAGCAAAACAGCAAGAAGUAACAGAUGGCACACAUCUGGAACUGCUGGAUGCCCACUUGUAGGACCCUUUUAUAUACCAGGGGAGGAGUCUGAGCUCUCUUUCAGUAAGCCAGUCUCUUUGAAAACACAGAUGGCAUUCAUUUCCAGAUGUUCAACAGAGACUAUGCUAUUUAAAAUGUGUGCAUGAAGUUUUAUGCAUAAAAAUGAUCUGAAGCACUGUUGACAGCUGCAGAACUAAACCCUUCACACCUCAAGAGGAGACCGAAUAUGAGCUUCUUCCACAACACAAAAUGCCAGAAAAAAACAUGCUACAGGCAACGUCCCAAUCAUCCUCUCUGGCUGGUCUGAAAAGUUAAGGAUUAAUUGUUUGGUUCUUUACAUUUAAAAUAAAUUGAUCCAACCUGUGCCUUA
Pantherophis guttatus is the source of this 742-nucleotide non-coding RNA. NCBI's taxonomy places the organism in Eukaryota, Metazoa, Chordata, Lepidosauria, Squamata, Colubridae. The record is from RefSeq and is a predicted model, not a curated record.